CCUACGGGGGGCAGCAGUCGAGAAUUUUUCACAAUGGGCGAAAGCCUGAUGGAGCGACGCCGCGUGGGGGAUGAAGGGCUUCGGCUCGUAAACCCCUGUCAUUCGAGAACAAACCUCGCAACCUAACACGUUGCGGGCUGAUAGUAUCGGAAGAGGAAGGGACGGCUAACUCUGUGCCAGCAGCCGCGGUAAUACAGAGGUCCCAAGCGUUGUUCGGAUUUACUGGGCGUAAAGGGUGCGUAGGCGGUGAGGAAAGUUUGAGGUGAAAUCUCCAG
Molecule: ribosomal RNA, 275 nt
Filed under: uncultured bacterium
Lineage: Bacteria
Description: partial 16S ribosomal RNA
Rfam family: Bacterial small subunit ribosomal RNA
Source: RNAcentral